This 444-nucleotide unclassified non-coding RNA is filed under the name uncultured Pseudomonadota bacterium. RNAcentral's name for it is "uncultured proteobacterium partial contains 16S ribosomal RNA, 16S-23S ribosomal RNA intergenic spacer, and 23S ribosomal RNA". The stretch from base 93 to 168 matches the Rfam family "tRNA". The record is from RNAcentral. Lineage: Bacteria; Pseudomonadati; Pseudomonadota.
GCGGCUGGAUCCCCUCCUUUUAUAGAGUAAAGUGCCCAACUCGUUUUUUCCUUGCGAGGAGCCGUUUGGUUCUUUGCACGCGUGGGACCGAUGGGCCUAUAGCUCAGCUUCGGUUAGAGCGCACGCCUGAUAAGCGUGAGGUCGAUGGUUCAAGUCCAUCUAGGCCCACCACCUGCCUUUUGAGGUUUCGGGGGUGUAGCUCAGUUGGGAGAGCACCUGCCUUGCAAGCAGGGGGUCAUCGGUUCGAAUCCGUUCACCUCCACCAUUUGGGUUGGGUGGCGGACCACGCGAGUUCAUUGACAGAGAAAGAGGGAAUGGGGAAUUUGGAGAGAAUAUUGUAAGAAGAUAUGCAGGGCAACUGGUGGAUGCCUUGGCGCUAAGAGGCGAUGAAGGACGUGGUAGGCUGCGAUAAGCUUUGGUGAGCCGCCAAGCAGGCUUUGACCC